UGGGGAAUAUUGUGCAAUGGGGGAAACCCUGACACAGCGACGCCGCGUGAGCGAAGAAGGCCUUCGGGUCGUAAAGCUCAAUAGUAUGGGAAGAAGGAAGUGACGGUACCAUACGAAAGCCCCGGCUAACUACGUGCCAGCAGCCGCGGUAAUACGUAGGGGGCGAGCGUUGUCCGGAAUUACUGGGCGUAAAGAGCACGUAGGCGGCUAUAAAAGUCAGAUGUGAAAAACCUGGGCUCAACCGAGGGUAUGCAUCUGAAACUAAAUAGCUUGAGUCAAGGAGAGGAGAGCGGAAUUCCUGGUGUAGCGGUGAAAUGCGUAGAGAUCAGGAAGAAUACCAGUGGCGAAAGCGGCUCUCUGGACUUGAACUGACGCUGAGGUGCGAAAGCGUGGGGAGCAAACAGG
Molecule: ribosomal RNA, 405 nt
Filed under: Bacillota bacterium
Lineage: Bacteria; Bacillati; Bacillota
Description: Firmicutes bacterium partial 16S ribosomal RNA
Rfam family: Bacterial small subunit ribosomal RNA
Source: RNAcentral